CAGGGAAUCUUCGGCAAUGGACGGAAGUCUGACCGAGCAACGCCGCGGGAGUGAAGAAGGUUUUCGGAUCGUAAAGCUCUGUUGUUAGAGAAGAACGUUGGUAGGAGUGGAAAAUCUACCAAGUGACGGUAACUAACCAGAAAGGGACGGCUAACUACGUGCCAGCAGCCGCGGUAAUACGUAGGUCCCGAGCGUUGUCCGGAGUUAUUGGGCGUAAAGCGAGCGCAGGCGGUUCUUUAAGUCUGAAGUUAAAGGCAGUGGCUUAACCAUUGUACGCUUUGGAAACUGGAGGACUUGAGUGCAGAAGGGGAGAGUGGAAUUCCAUGUGUAGCGGUGAAAUGCGUAGAUAUAUGGAGGAACACCGGUGGCGGAAGCGGCUCUCUGGUCUGUAACUGACGCUGAGGCUCGAAAGCGUGGGGAGCAAACAGG
This 429-nucleotide ribosomal RNA is filed under the name Bacillota bacterium. Its description in RNAcentral is "Firmicutes bacterium partial 16S ribosomal RNA". It matches the Rfam family "Bacterial small subunit ribosomal RNA", at positions 355 to 776 of the family's 1533-position model. Lineage: Bacteria; Bacillati; Bacillota. The record is from RNAcentral.